UACAUAAAACAAUGUCUUAAAAACACCAGCAGCAGUGCAACUUAAUCAAGUUGAAUGCUCCUCCAUGUUGAAACAAAAAUGGCUGCCAACAUUUUCAAAUAGACCGGGGAACAAUAGAAUCGGAGGUUACCUGAUGCUUUUCAAAAUGUGUUUACUCUUUCUUCGUCAAGUGGGUAGUAAAUUUAAACAUGAUUAUACUGAAAAGUUUUUAUUAUCAACUUGACUCAACCUAGGGUCACCUGGGGAGAGGAAACCUAGACAGAGGAAUUGUCUUGAUCCAGUCGGCCCGUGGAUUUGUCUGUAAUGCUUUUUCUAUUUGCUGACUGCUGUAGGAGGGCCCUGGCCACUGUGAAUGGUGUCAUUCCUAGGCAGGGGGGGUGGAGGGGGUGUCCUGAGCUGUGUAAGAAAGCAGGCUGGGCAAGCCAGGUUGGAGAAAGCCAGGAAGCAGUUCCCCUCCACUGUCCUUUCCUCAGUUCCUGUCUCCAGGUUCCUGUCUUUACUUCCCUGGACGUUAAACUGCUAACCUGUACAGUAAAAUAAAUAAACUCUUUCCUCCCCGA
This 560-nucleotide long non-coding RNA is filed under the name Rattus norvegicus (Norway rat). RNAcentral's name for it is "long non-coding RNA NONRATT009312". The record is from RNAcentral. Lineage: Eukaryota; Metazoa; Chordata; Mammalia; Rodentia; Muridae.